CAUACGUAGCUCAGUACUUAGCUGCUCUGAGCUGGAGCCGUGCGGUGCGUGUAUACAUAAAUCCACUGUUGGAAAUGUCAAGAUUUCCUGAUCUUUACGUGCGCCACUUAACUAUCAUUGAAAAUGUUGCAUUAAUAUUAUCUCACGAAAGCUUUACGAGAAUUAGGUAGUUUUGCCAAAAGUUCGUGUCGUUGUAUCCGGGCUCGGGGUGCAAAGAAAUUGAAGGUGGUGUGCGACGGCCAGGACCGCCAUGGCGGCUACGCCCGGUUAAACGUUUUUACGUCUUUGUGAGUUGUGGCGAGAAUAAUAAAAGCUUUGAAUGAGCUUUGCAAACGAGAAUUCCGAGGGGUUGGAACUUGGUAUAAAAAAUGUUUUGUGGCCUCAGCUGCGAUGGGUGACUUCGCUUUAUUUAUAAUUCACCGGAGGAACACGAGGAGAGUUACAUCGUACAAGUAUGUACAGCCGAAGGCAUAUUGACCAUCACAAAGGAGCGAGUAAUGGCUGAGGUUAAUUCCUGUUUGCACUGGCUACCACAAUCGCACACCCCUCGACACCGCAAACCCCUCACAAAAGCAUUAUACCGCAGGAGCCUCUCGGUGGAUCCUUCCUUCAUAGCUGAGCCAACGGAGCAUCGAAGCAAGCCAUCCUCGGUCCCAGCAGCACCUACGAGCUCCACUCGACUCUGUCUUUGACUUUACCGUACUAUCGAAUCGCUUCUCGAAAGUUAUCGACUGUGAAACAGCAUCUGUUCGACUCGAUCCUCAUGUUUAUGGAUUUUAUGGGAGCAGGAUUGAGCAAACGAAGAAGUCGAUUUUGCGUCAGCGAUUCGGCUUUUAUUUAGGGGAGAUUGAUCGCGUACGAAUCUCCCAAUUUAUUGUCGUCCAUCGACGCUUUUCCGCACCGAUUAAGCGACAUUUCAUCCGGCUCAACUUUUUUUUGGGCCCAUGUACCGUUCAGUCUGUUCGCUCAAACGUAUCAUUUCCUGUACGAUAUCCUCCCGUACAAUUUGUCAACGGACUUAUGUGAAUGCGAAAAUUAAUCGGUUUUCAAUCGAGAAUCUUACCCAGUGAGAGUCUCAAGUGCAUGUAUGAAGUAUACAGUAAUAAAAAUUGACGGUGGAUCGCCUGGGAGCGGAGAGA
Venturia canescens is the source of this 1139-nucleotide long non-coding RNA. RefSeq lists it as uncharacterized. The transcript is spliced from 3 exons. NCBI's taxonomy places the organism in Eukaryota, Metazoa, Arthropoda, Insecta, Hymenoptera, Ichneumonidae. The record is from RefSeq and is a predicted model, not a curated record.